ACUCCUACGGGAGGCAGCAGUGGGGAAUAUUGCACAAUGGGCGCAAGCCUGAUGCAGCCAUGCCGCGUGUAUGAAGAAGGCCUUCGGGUUGUAAAGUACUUUCAGCAGUGAGGAAGGUGGAUAUGUUAAUAGCAUAUUCAUUUGACGUUAGCUGCAGAAGAAGCACCGGCUAACUCCGUGCCAGCAGCCGCGGUAAUACGGAGGGUGCGAGCGUUAAUCGGAAUUACUGGGCGUAAAGCGCAUGCAGGUGGUUUGUUAAGUCAGAUGUGAAAGCCCGGGGCUCAACCUCGGAAUUGCAUUUGAAACUGGCAAACUAGAGUACUGUAGAGGGGGGUAGAAUUUCAGGUGUAGCGGUGAAAUGCGUAGAGAUCUGAAGGAAUACCGGUGGCGAAGGCGGCCCCCUGGACAGAUACUGACACUCAGAUGCGAAAGCGUGGGGAGCAAACAGGAUUAGAUACCAUGGUAGGCUCUGC
RNAcentral lists this ribosomal RNA (473 nucleotides) under uncultured bacterium. RNAcentral's name for it is "bacterial SSU rRNA". It matches the Rfam family "Bacterial small subunit ribosomal RNA", at positions 335 to 800 of the family's 1533-position model. The record is from RNAcentral.